GAUGAACGCUGGCGGCGUGCCUAAUACAUGCAAGUCGAGCGAACGGACGAGAAGCUUGCUUCUCUGAUGUUAGCGGCGGACGGGUGAGUAACACGUGGAUAACCUACCUAUAAGACUGGGAUAACUUCGGGAAACCGUAGCUAAUACCGGAUAAUAUUUUGAACCGAAGGGUUAAAAAGUGAAAGACGGUUUUGCUGUCACUAAUAGAUGGAUCCGCGCUGCAUUAGCUAGUUGGUAAGGUAACGGCUUACCAAGGCAACGAUGCAUAGCCGACCUGAGAGGGUGAUCGGCCACACUGGAACUGAGACACGGUCCAGACUCCUACGGGAGGCAGCAGUAGGGAAUCUUCCGCAAUGGGCGAAAGCCUGACGGAGCAACGCCGCGUGAGUGAUGAAGGUCUUCGGAUCGUAAAACUCUGUUAUUAGGGAAGAACAUAUGUGUAAGUAACUGUGCACAUCUUGACGGUACCUAAUCAGAAAGCCACGGCUAACUACGUG
RNAcentral lists this ribosomal RNA (497 nucleotides) under uncultured bacterium. Its description in RNAcentral is "partial 16S ribosomal RNA". It matches the Rfam family "Bacterial small subunit ribosomal RNA", at positions 28 to 507 of the family's 1533-position model. The record is from RNAcentral.